Molecule: ribosomal RNA, 468 nt
Filed under: uncultured bacterium
Lineage: Bacteria
Description: partial 16S ribosomal RNA
Rfam family: Bacterial small subunit ribosomal RNA
Source: RNAcentral
GACGAACGCUGGCGGCGUGCUUAACACAUGCAAGUCGAACGGAAAGGCCCUGCUUUUGUGGUGUGCUCGAGUGGCGAACGGGUGAGUAACACGUGAGUAACCUGCCCUUGACUUUGGUAUAACUUCAGGAAACUGGGGCUAAUACCGGAUAGGAGCUCCUGCUGCAUUGUGGGUGUUGGAAAGUUUCGGCGGUUGGGGAUGGACUCGCGGCUUAUCAGCUUGUUGGUGGGGUAGUGGCUUACCAAGGCUUUGACGGGUAGCCGGCCUGAGAGGGUGACCGGCCACAUUGGGACUGAGAUACGGCCCAGACUCUUACGGGAGGCAGAAGUGGGGAAUAUUGCACAAUGGGCGGAAGCCUGAUGCAGCAACGCCGCGUGCGGGAUGACGGCCUUCGGGUUGUAAACCGCUUUCGCCUGUGACGAAGCGUGAGUGACGGUAAUGGGUAAAGAAGCACCGGCUAACUACGUG